Molecule: long non-coding RNA, 1155 nt
Filed under: Felis catus (domestic cat)
Lineage: Eukaryota; Metazoa; Chordata; Mammalia; Carnivora; Felidae
Description: lncRNA (ENSFCAG00000040969.2)
Source: RNAcentral
CCGCCUGACUAACAGAAUUCACAGAAGUCUGCACACAAGUAAAAAAAAAAAAAAUUAUAAGUGAUUAUUCCCUGAAAAUAUUUAAAUAACUAUGAGGAAGGAAAAAUACUGUGUGAUCUGAAUCUUUGGCGAAGGGUAUUUUUUUCUAUCUAUUGCUACACAACAAAACACUUGACAACAUAUUGGCACAAAACAAAAUUUUAUUAUGUCUCUUCAUUCUGUGCGUUGACUGAGUAUAACUUGGUAGAUCUUACUCGGGUAUCAAGUGUGACUGCUGUCAUAUUUCACAGGAGCUGAUGUCUGAAGGACUGAGUCAGCUGCAUGUCUGUGCUGGCUCAAUCCCAUGGCGGCCAGUUGAUGUGGCCAUGAGCUGGGCCCCCCUGUAACCGACUUAUGUGGUCUGGUCUUCUAGUAUGGAAGCUUGGUUCCAACUGGAAACACCAGAAGAGACUCAGGAAGAUGCGGUAGUCAAAGAGUAUAACAUGAAGACAGAAAAUGGAGAGGUUGAUACAGUGUAAUCAUAUCUAUUGAUAUUGAUGGACUCUGGUUGGAGCACUGCAUAUAUUGUGAAGAGAAGCCACCCAGCUCUUCCCUUGCCCAUCACACUGACUGGCGAGCUUACAGGUCAACCCCUUCACUCAUAUCUGAUGUCAUCGCCUUCGGCUAAGAGGACCCUAAGUUAAGGAAACCUGUGCGGACGUUCCCCAUUGUCCACAUAUGACCAUGCAGUGGAGCACGCUUUGCCAGGUGACCAUGGAGGUGAGAAGUUAAAGUUUGCCGGCAGUGGAACAGAUGCUGUUAAAUCUCAAGUGCAUUUUCAGCCUCCUCCUAUGCUGAAAUGUGUUUAUUUCAAUUGGUCUGGCUUGCAAAUUUCCAAUAGGCAACAAGGAACGGGCCGGCUUCAAUCUCUAUCAAACUUUGGAGCAUAGGGAUAUCUUCUUUCCCACAAUCUAUGUUGCUUUUGUUGAAGAGCUUCUCAUUCCCUGUCCUAAGUAAACAGUCACGUGUUGUCCAUUAAAUGCGGAACAGAGCUUCCUCACUGAGUGUCACAUUCUUGGCUGGACUUGCAAAGCAUCCAGAUGUAAUUUGAAAGACGUAAUUCAAAAAUCAUGGAGAACAAAAGUUCUGCUAAAAUCUGACAAGAUUGGAAUUCCA